This 138-nucleotide small nucleolar RNA is filed under the name Ornithorhynchus anatinus (platypus). The record is from RNAcentral. Lineage: Eukaryota; Metazoa; Chordata; Mammalia; Monotremata; Ornithorhynchidae.
CUCCUCUCAGGACCACACCUGGAGAGUUUGCAGUACUCUACCAGUCUCAACUACAGGAGGGAGAGUCAAGCAGAGGCAUAUCCAUUCCAUUCCUAGCUUGGGCAGUGGCUAACAAAUGGAAGGCAAUCUGCUACAAAU